GUGACCUAGCGGUGACCAAACACGGUGGCCAAAGCCGCAAAGGGAGAGCGGCAGUGGUGUGGUCAGGUCUGGGAGGAAGGGGUGUGUGGCCGCUUCUAGCCUGAAGAAUCCCGAGCUUGCUUACGCCCCUCGCCGGCCUCCGCAGCACUUCGCCUGUCCCUAAGAGGAAGCAUCAGAGAAGAAAGAAUGGCUGUGAGCCACCUGCCAACCGUGGUCCAGUUGCUGCAACUAUGACCAUGCUGAAGAUGCUGAGAAGACGAGGGAGAUGUAGAACUGUUCCAUACUGUGGAGGUAACAGUCCAAAGGUGGAGACUGAGCGUAAACCAAAGAUCGCAGUGAAGUGGGUCAGAGCUUCAGCGGGCCCACAUCGACGGGUGCAGGAGCAGCCAGGGAAGGCUGUGCUGAGGUAGUGUCUGAGCAGAGACUGGACUAGGGUUUGGCCAUGUCGGGGAAGAGCAGAGGCAGGGCUGGGAAGAAUUCUGGAGAUGGAGAAAAUGAACAGCCCUCCGUGGUCCCAGUGCCGAGGAUGCACGUCUUCACCACGGCCUAUGUCUAUCUCUUCAAAGUGGG
This 570-nucleotide long non-coding RNA is filed under the name Heterocephalus glaber (naked mole-rat). RNAcentral describes it as "lncRNA (ENSHGLG00100046968.1)". Lineage: Eukaryota; Metazoa; Chordata; Mammalia; Rodentia; Bathyergidae. The record is from RNAcentral.